GGCCUGAUGGUGUAACGGUUACACGUCCUUCACUUAUGAACAUCGCGUAGUAUGACGCAGAGGAAAUUCCCUGUUCGACUCGGGGUCGGGCCU
Molecule: non-coding RNA, 93 nt
Organism: Mycena leptocephala
Lineage: Eukaryota; Fungi; Basidiomycota; Agaricomycetes; Agaricales; Mycenaceae
Source: the annotation of a GenBank genome assembly